CCACAUUGCAAAGUCGAAACGGCAGCACGGAAGCUUGCUUUUGGUGGCGAGUUGGCGAACGGGGUGAGUUAAUAUUAUCGAAACGUACCCUGGAGUGGGGGAUAACGUAGCGAAAGUUUACCGCUAAUACCGCAUACGAUCCUAAAGGAUGAAAGUGGGGGGAUCGCAAGACCUCAUGCUCGUGGAGCGGGCCGAUAUCUGAUUAGCUAGUUGGUAGGGUAAAAGCCUACCAAGGCAUCGAUCAGUAGCUGGUCUGAGAGGACGACCAGCCACACUGGAACUGAGACACGGUCCAGACUCCUACGGGAGGCAGCAGUGGGGAAUUUUGGACAAUGGGCGAAAGCCUGAUCCAGCAAUGCCGCGUGAGUGAAGAAGGCCUUCGGGUUGUAAAGCUCUUUUGUCAGGGAAGAAACGGUGAGAGCUAAUAUCUCUUGCUAAUGACGGUACCUGAAGAAUAAGCACCGGCUAACUACGUGCCAGCAGCCGCGGUAAUACGUAGGGUGCAAGCGUUAAUCGGAAUUACUGGGCGUAAAGCGUGCGCAGGCGGUUUUGUAAGUAUGAUGUGAAAUCCCCGGGCUCAACCUGGGAAUUGCAUUGGAGACUGCAAGGCUAGAAUCUGGCAGAGGGGGGUAGAAUUCCACGUGUAGCAGUGAAAUGCGUAGAUAUGUGGAGGAACACCGAUGGCGAAGGCAGCCCCCUGGGUCAAGAUUGACGCUCAUGCACGAAAGCGUGGGGAGCAAACAGGAUUAGAUACCCUGGUAGUCCACGCCCUAAACGAUGUCUACUAGUUGUCGGGUCUUAAUUGACUUGGUAACGCAGCUAACGCGUGAAGUAGACCGCCUGGGGAGUACGGUCGCAAGAUUAAAACUCAAAGGAAUUGACGGGGACCCGCACAAGCGGUGGAUGAUGUGGAUUAAUUCGAUGCAACGCGAAAAACCUUACCUACCCUUGACAUGGAUGGAAUCCCGGAGAGAUCUGGGAGGCUCGAAAGGGAUUC
Molecule: ribosomal RNA, 997 nt
Filed under: Janthinobacterium lividum
Lineage: Bacteria; Pseudomonadati; Pseudomonadota; Betaproteobacteria; Burkholderiales; Oxalobacteraceae
Description: bacterial SSU rRNA
Rfam family: Bacterial small subunit ribosomal RNA
Source: RNAcentral